RNAcentral lists this non-coding RNA (135 nucleotides) under Tolumonas auensis. RNAcentral's name for it is "MoCo sequence". It matches the Rfam family "Molybdenum/Tungsten riboswitch aptamer (Moco RNA motif)". RNAcentral also lists the same sequence under 1 other name. The record is from RNAcentral. Lineage: Bacteria; Pseudomonadati; Pseudomonadota; Gammaproteobacteria; Aeromonadales; Aeromonadaceae.
GAAAAAACAACACACCGAGCUGUAUUACCUAAGUCACUGAUAAGGCAAUACAGCCGAGCAGCAGCGAUGUUGCGAGGGUCAGUAAAGAAAUGCACUGGCCUCCCGAAUUUGGAAAGGUGUUUAUGAUAUUAGAAG